RNAcentral lists this ribosomal RNA (481 nucleotides) under Camaenidae sp. MV2. Its description in RNAcentral is "partial 12S ribosomal RNA". The record is from RNAcentral. Lineage: Eukaryota; Metazoa; Mollusca; Gastropoda; Stylommatophora; Camaenidae.
GUCAAACUUUAGUGGGGGAGUCACGCAGCAGAAUAACACGCUCAGCAGCAUUACGAGUGGUGAAAUACAGAAAUAUAUACCUCUGCCCGUGUGUGUCACUAUUAAAAACACUGCUGCUAAACAGGGAUUAGAGACCCCUUUAUACAAGUGCUUACUAUAUUUUGCGGAGUACUACGACUAUUAGAGUUAAAACUUAAACAACAUGGCGGUAACUUCAACUUAGGGGAACUUACCUUGUAAAUGAUAACCACCAAGGUAAAGUAACUACUAAAAAAUCUUGUAUGCCGUCGUCGCAGGUAGCACUUAAUGUUCUACCAGAAUAGUUGUCUAAGAAGACAGAUCAAGGUGCAGACAAUUUAGUAGUAACGGCGAGUUACAAUUUCGGUUGUUAACGGAUAGUUUAUGUAAAAACAUGUUGAAGGUGGACUUAACAGUAAUAGAGAAGACCAAUAAUCUAUGAACUAUAUGAAGUUGUGCACAA